RNAcentral lists this ribosomal RNA (265 nucleotides) under uncultured bacterium. Its description in RNAcentral is "partial 16S ribosomal RNA". It matches the Rfam family "Bacterial small subunit ribosomal RNA", at positions 793 to 1055 of the family's 1533-position model. The record is from RNAcentral.
GUCCUAGCCUUAAACGAUGAAUGCUUGGUGUGACGGGUACCCAAUCCCGCCGUGCCGGAGCUAACGCGAUAAGCAUUCCGCCUGGGGAGUACGAUCGCAAGGCUGAAACUCAAAGGAAUUGACGGGGGCCCCGCACAAGCGGUGGAGCAUGUGGUUCAAUUCGACGCAACGCGAAGAACCUUACCUGGGCUCGAAGCGCAGUGGACCGGGUGGAAACAUCCCUUUCUCGCAAGAGACUGCUGCGGAGGUGCUGCAUGGCUGUCGU